This 73-nucleotide transfer RNA is filed under the name Waddliaceae bacterium. RNAcentral describes it as "tRNA-Thr". It matches the Rfam family "tRNA". Rfam says of the family: Transfer RNA (tRNA) molecules are approximately 80 nucleotides in length. Lineage: Bacteria; Pseudomonadati; Chlamydiota; Chlamydiia; Parachlamydiales; Waddliaceae. The record is from RNAcentral.
GCUGGCGUAGCUCAACUGGUAGAGCACUCGACUUGUAAUCGAACGGUUGUGGGUUCAAGUCCUACCGCCAGCA